UGUUUAGAGAUUUCAUAUUGAUGAUUUUCCCAAUAAUUGGCAUCAUAGCAAAGGUUUCGAUAAAGGGAGGAAUAGAAGUUGUCAUGCGGCAUUCAUUUCAAGAGAGGUUAGUUAUCAUCUUAUUUGUGUUUUCUCUUAGAUAGUGUUAUGAAUAUUUUGAAGUUGGAUGGUCCUUUGUUUGAUGGAAGGAUGAACUUCUCUUUAUGGCAACACACAAGUCCAAAUUCAUAGAGGAUUUGUGAAGCCUAAUAGGGAAGUCAGAAAAGUUGAAGAGUACUCCUUCUAUUAAUGCGAAGAUGACAACAAAGUAAAGAAAUGUGACACUUCAGAUGAAGGGAGAGUAUCUUAUUUAGAAUUGGUAUUCGUCAAAGUCUCAUAUCAAAUAAUGGGAAGAAAAAUCAACUAAAGUUUUAGGAUAAUCAUGACACCUCCCCAUAUCCCCAACUAAAUUUUUCCAUGUUUGCAAACAUAUUUGUGUACAAUUGAGUGAUAUCAAGUUUAAAUUUGUUCCAUUAAAAAAGUUUAAAUUUGUGUUUACGGAG
Molecule: long non-coding RNA, 542 nt
Filed under: Medicago truncatula (barrel medic)
Lineage: Eukaryota; Viridiplantae; Streptophyta; Magnoliopsida; Fabales; Fabaceae
Description: long non-coding RNA (MTRU_LNC008795)
Source: RNAcentral